AAAUAUUUCCUCUUUCUCCCUCAUGCUUAGUUCGUUCCUCUCUCUCAAUGGUUAUUAAAAUGAAAGAGAGAGAAAUCAAAUCAGACUCCAUCUCUCUCUUGGAAUUUCGAUUGUCUUCCCCAACCCUUCUCACCAGAGCAUAGCGGUGGCCAGCGGCAUCGCCGCUGCCUUCUAUGGUAGCUCUUCAAAUCAAAACCCUAAGACCUAAACACGACCCCCACCAAUUUUUGUUGUAGAUUUCGAAUCCGUCCUCUAAAAUAAAAAAAAUCAACUAUUCUUCCGGAUCGAGAGAGAACUAAAACCCUAACCUAACAAAUUACCAAUUAACGACCUAAACAUAAAAAAGACCUCCAUUCAAAGUGAGACAAAUAAUAAGUAGUAAGGAAAAGAAUGUAAUGCACGAAGACAGAGGCGAAAAUGACCUCGACAGAGUUUUGAGACUCCGAAGAGGUUCUCCGACCAACCUCGAAGGUAAACGGUUAUGGAUCUCCCUCUCUCUGAUUUAAUCCGCUUCAACUUCUUUUUGGACGAUUUUUGUUUCCUCUGAGAUGAAAGACUGUCUUUUAUGGAUGAGGGUUUUUUCGACUGCUAUGGUUUUUUAACGAGUUUUUUGGUGUGACUGUUGGGAUUUUUUUAUUCUUGAUGGUUUCUAGUUUGUUUGAAGGUUCUUAGUUUUUUUUUAUCUGAUCUUUGGUGGUUUUGUAACUCUUUAUCUCAGACGUUUUUUUUAGUUUUUUUGUUGUCCUUUCUUUAAGAAAAGAACUUCAAUUUAUACUAAUUUUCCAUGCUUUGGAUUAGGAUUUGUAGUAGUUGUUGUUCAUUGACAUAAUUGGAUAUAAAGUUGGUUACUUUUGAAGUGUGAGAGUUUGUUUUGAUCAACUAGUAUAAACCUCUGUUAUAUUUGAAAUUGUGAUAGCCUGUAUUUUCUUUCUUCAUAUUUUGGCUCUUUGCUUUGUCUCUUUGCUUUGCUUUGUAUCUUAUUCUGAAAUGGUGUUAACUUGAUGCUCUGUUUUACAGCAGGUACAAGACAAAAUUCUGCUCCACAAGUGUACUAUGGUUAAGGUGUAGAGAUGGUAGAAUGGCCUAGUAAAUUCAAGCCUUGAGAGAUCAACUUUUUUUUUUGUACUUAUUCUCUUUUUUUUAAUGUAGUUUGUUACUGUAAAAACUUGUACCUUAUUAUAAUGUAAAAACUUAUAUUUAUAUAUUUUUUAAAUCUUUUUAUUUAUUUGUG
This 1231-nucleotide long non-coding RNA is filed under the name Lathyrus oleraceus (garden pea). RNAcentral's name for it is "Pisum sativum (pea) long non-coding RNA (PSAT_LNC029798)". The record is from RNAcentral. Lineage: Eukaryota; Viridiplantae; Streptophyta; Magnoliopsida; Fabales; Fabaceae.